Molecule: transfer RNA, 85 nt
Filed under: Felis catus (domestic cat)
Lineage: Eukaryota; Metazoa; Chordata; Mammalia; Carnivora; Felidae
Also listed under: 2 other names
Rfam family: tRNA
About the family: Transfer RNA (tRNA) molecules are approximately 80 nucleotides in length. Their secondary structure includes four short double-helical elements and three loops (D, anti-codon, and T loops).
Source: Rfam by way of RNAcentral
GUCUGGGUGGCUCAGUUGGUUAAGUGUCUAACUUCAGCUCAGGUCAUGAUCUCAUGGUUAGUGGGUUCGAGCCCCACCUCAGGCU